UGUUGACUGAAGUGCGUAUUAGGAGCUUUGGCCAGUCAAAGCAAAAGGUAGCGAAAAGAUAGUCACUUCAAGGUGUCCAAGUUAAGAAAACCAGGAGGUAGAAUUCAAGGAGACCAUGUCAAAUCCUGUCAGCAAAGUCAAGGUCAGAAAGGAAGCCACUUCCUAACGACCCACACCACUGGUGGUCUCAUCACGCUGUUGCACCAUUUGGAUGUUUUCUAAUUCUCCCGGGCUGUUUUCUCUCCAAUUGGACUGUAAACUCCUGGCAGGCUCAGGCAGUGCUCGGAAGGUCUCUCACACGGUCCAACCUUACGCGAAAAGCACUUAUUGAAAGCACCUCGAUGGCCGGGCGCGGUGGCUCACGACUGUAAUCCCAGCACUUUGGGACGCCAAGGCGGGCGGAUCACCUGAGCUCAAGAGUUCGAGACCAGCCUGGCCAACAUAGUGAAACCCUGUCUCUACUAAAAAUACAAAAAUUAGCCA
RNAcentral lists this long non-coding RNA (483 nucleotides) under Homo sapiens (human). RNAcentral's name for it is "HSALNT0223836". Lineage: Eukaryota; Metazoa; Chordata; Mammalia; Primates; Hominidae. The record is from RNAcentral.